Molecule: ribosomal RNA, 500 nt
Filed under: uncultured bacterium
Lineage: Bacteria
Description: partial 16S ribosomal RNA
Rfam family: Bacterial small subunit ribosomal RNA
Source: RNAcentral
AUUGAACGCUGGCGGCAGGCCUAACACAUGCAAGUCGAGCGGAUGACGGGAGCUUGCUCCUUGAUUCAGCGGCGGACGGGUGAGUAAUGCCUAGGAAUCUGCCUGGUAGUGGGGGACAACGUUUCGAAAGGAACGCUAAUACCGCAUACGUCCUACGGGAGAAAGCAGGGGACCUUCGGGCCUUGCGCUAUCAGAUGAGCCUAGGUCGGAUUAGCUAGUUGGGGGGGUAAUGGCUCACCAAGGCGACGAUCCGUAACUGGUCUGAGAGGAUGAUCAGUCACACUGGAACUGAGACACGGUCCAGACUCCUACGGGAGGCAGCAGUGGGGAAUAUUGGACAAUGGGCGAAAGCCUGAUCCAGCCAUGCCGCGUGUGUGAAGAAGGUCUUCGGAUUGUAAAGCACUUUAAGUUGGGAGGAAGGGCAGUAAGUUGAUACCUUGCUGUUUUGACGUUACCGACAGAAUAAGCACCGGCUAACUCUGUGCCAGCCGCCGCCGUAA